This 460-nucleotide ribosomal RNA is filed under the name uncultured bacterium. RNAcentral describes it as "partial 16S ribosomal RNA". It matches the Rfam family "Bacterial small subunit ribosomal RNA", at positions 338 to 795 of the family's 1533-position model. The record is from RNAcentral.
CCUACGGGAGGCUGCAGUGAGGAAUAUUGGUCAAUGGACGAGAGUCUGAACCAGCCAAGUAGCGUGAAGGAUGACUGCCCUAUGGGUUGUAAACUUCUUUUAUAUGGGAAUAAAAUGUUCCACGUGUGGGAUUUUGUAUGUACCAUAUGAAUAAGGAUCGGCUAACUCCGGGCCAGCAGCCGCGGUAAUACGGAGGAUGCGAGCGUUAUCCGGAUUUAGUGGGUGUAAAGGGAGCGUAGGUGGUUUGUUAAGUCAGUUGUGAAAGUGUGCGGCUCAACCUUAAAAUUGCAGUUGAAACUGGCAGUCUUGAGUACAGUAGAGGUGGGCGGAAUUCGUGGUGUAGCGGUGAAAUGCUUAGAGAUCACGAAGAACUCCGAUUGCGAAGGCAGUUCACUGGACUGCAACUGACACUGAGGCUCGAAAGUGUGGGUAGCAAACAGGAUUAGAUACCCUUGUAGUC